CUGAAUUUCCCCAGGAAUUAUUAGCGUGAGUUUCCCACCAGAAAGCAGCAGGAAUGGGUGGUUGAAGAAGAGAUAUCUGCUGUAAGUUUAAAGAGUACAUUUUAUCACACACAGUCUUGUGGCUUGAAAAUCUGUACACACGUUAUAGGGAAUAUGGGAGACAGCCCCAGCAGUAAUCUCAUGGUAUCUCCAAGUGCCAGGCACCAAAGCUAGGAAGCUGUUGGGGAAUUUAUGCUGGCCACCAGCCCAUGAAGCAGAUGCUGUUACCUCCCUGGUUCUACACCUGGGGAAACUGUAGCACACAGAGGAGGAGUCAAUUGUCAGGGGUCUCAGGGCUCCUCAAAGAGGGCCAUUCAGGUCCCAGGUUUGUCAAACUCUAAAUUGCACACCGGUUUGCAGGACGCUUUCCUGCCCCCAGUACAAGAAUGAAAUAAAAGCCUCACUGCGGAAGAGAGUGAAACAGCCAGCAAAACUUUUUUUAAAAAGUGUGAUACAGUUAUUUCCCACAAUAAAGUGCUAAAUGGAAGGGGGGAAACGCAGUGUAGGGAACUGUUCCUAUAGUACCAUUCCAGGAAUAUAAAAAGAUAAUUUAUAUUUACAGAGGAAACCACAGGGGACCAAUGGGGUUCUUGUGCAUUUACUCAACAGAUAUACAACGAGAACACACUGCGAGGCACUAUUCAAUGGGUGUGCUGCACACUCAAUGGUUUUCUAUACUCAGGGGGAGUGACUUCUACAAUGAGAGAAUAUAUUUUACCAUAUAUGAAACCCAGGUCCACAAACCCAGGACAACCCAAGAAGAGACCUUGACAAGACGAUUCCGAGAGGCAGAAAUACAAGAUGCGAAGGAACCUAGGCAGCUCCGGAGGAGAAAGGCCAACUGGAAAAGCAAACGGGCCUUGCCGGCAGGCAGGGAAUUUUCCGAAGGGGGCGCGCUGAAGGCUGCAGCCGGCCCGGGAGCGGCCCAGCCCGCGCAGACGCAGAAAGAAGCCGCCCUCUCCACGGACAAGGCUCCGCGCAGUUUUUUCAAGCACGAAGGGCGGGGCAGGAGGGCGGCUGGUCGGCUGCACGGCGCAACACUGCCACCUGCAGACCAGAGAAACCCCACGCCACCCACCCCAGCGAAAACUCCAUCUUUUCCGCGGCCGUUCCGCGCAACGACCUGGAGCUCGUGGCUCAGGAAGGCCGGCGGGAGGGAGAUGAGGACCACGGAAAGGAAGAGAAGCGGCCAGAGCGGCCCCGGCAACCGGGCUGGGGCACCGCCGCCUUCCCGGC
Molecule: long non-coding RNA, 1275 nt
Filed under: Equus caballus (horse)
Lineage: Eukaryota; Metazoa; Chordata; Mammalia; Perissodactyla; Equidae
Description: lncRNA (ENSECAG00000038061.3)
Source: RNAcentral